AUUGAACGCUGGCGGCAGGCCUAACACAUGCAAGUCGAGCGGAUGAAGGGAGCUUGCUCCUGGAUUCAGCGGCGGACGGGUGAGUAAUGCCUAGGAAUCUGCCUGGUAGUGGGGGAUAACGUCCGGAAACGGGCGCUAAUACCGCAUACGUCCUGAGGGAGAAAGUGGGGGAUCUUCGGACCUCACGCUAUCAGAUGAGCCUAGGUCGGAUUAGCUAGUUGGUGGGGUAAAGGCCUACCAAGGCGACGAUCCGUAACUGGUCUGAGAGGAUGAUCAGUCACACUGGAACUGAGACACGGUCCAGACUCCUACGGGAGGCAGCAGUGGGGAAUAUUGGACAAUGGGCGAAAGCCUGAUCCAGCCAUGCCGCGUGUGUGAAGAAGGUCUUCGGAUUGUAAAGCACUUUAAGUCGGGAGGAAGGGCAGUAAGUUAAUACCUUGCUGUUUGGACGUGACCAACAGAAUAAGCACCGGCUAACUUCGU
RNAcentral lists this ribosomal RNA (483 nucleotides) under uncultured bacterium. RNAcentral describes it as "partial 16S ribosomal RNA". It matches the Rfam family "Bacterial small subunit ribosomal RNA", at positions 30 to 506 of the family's 1533-position model. The record is from RNAcentral.